Molecule: RNA transcript, 10032 nt
Organism: Passer domesticus (house sparrow)
Lineage: Eukaryota; Metazoa; Chordata; Aves; Passeriformes; Passeridae
Gene: CNIH3
Gene name: cornichon family AMPA receptor auxiliary protein 3
Exons: 7
Source: RefSeq, a predicted model, not a curated record
CGCCCGGCCCCGGCUGCGUGAGGCGCUGCCCGGCCCCGGCUGCGUGAGGCGCUGCCCGCUCCGCUCGCCGCUCGCCCGCUGCCUCACGGCACCUCCCGCCCCGCGGAGGGGGGCGCGCGGGGCUCUCCCCGCCAUGGCCUUCACCUUCGCCGCCUUCUGCUACAUGCUGUCGCUGGUCCUGUGCGCCGCCCUCAUCUUCUUCGCCAUCUGGCAUAUAAUUGCCUUCGAUGAGCUUCGGACAGACUUCAAGAACCCCAUUGACCAGUGCAACCCAGCCCACGCAAGGGAGCGGCUGAGGAAUAUUGAGCGGAUUUGCUUCCUCCUGCGAAAGCUGGUGCUGCCAGAGUACUCCAUCCACAGUCUUUUCUGCAUAAUGUUUUUAUGUGCUCAGGAGUGGCUCACACUGGGGUUAAAUGUUCCUUUGCUUUUUUAUCACUUCUGGAGGUAUUUUCGUUGCCCAGCAGAUAGCUCAGAGCUGGCCUAUGAUCCACCUGCAGUGAUGAACGCAGAUACCUUGAGUUACUGCCAGAAAGAGGCCUGGUGUAAGCUGGCCUUCUACCUCCUUUCCUUCUUCUACUAUCUCUACUGCAUGAUCUACACUCUGGUGAGCUCUUAACUGAAAGAUCAUCACUAAGGACUGAAAACAACAAAGGCUGGAGGUGCAAGGACGAGUGAACCAAGGGAUGCAUGAUUAAAAAAAGCAAAGAGGAAAACUUUGAACCCAAGCAGUAAAUACAGUACAUGAAAGAGACAUCCAGCAAAGAGAAGCAGAAUACCAUGGGAAAAUGGCUGAGUUAAUUCUGUUUGUCUCCUGUUUCUCAAUGUAUUGCAGCAAAUGAUUUUCAAAACCCAAGCAAACAGGAAAAAUUGCUACAACGUGGGCCAAAUUAUACAACUAUUCACCUUUCCAGGGAUAACACUGCUUGGUUUAGUGGAUUCAUUAAAACUCUAAUGCCUGAAGUCCCUGCUGUCUUCCAGGAAGCAACAUUUCUUUUCUUAAGGACUAUUCUGGACUGAGGAAGCACAGGACAAGAUGAUCUUACACAGAAAGAAGAGCUGUACAACAUUCUGAAAACAAGCAGUGAGUGGACUUUGGAUGAGAUGUGUGACUGUCCUGCAGGGCUAUUCUGGUGACACUAGUCAAACAGGGAUGUCGAAUCUCAUGGAACUGCUUCCGUGGUUUUGGUUCAUUGGGUUGGUUUUUUUUUUGCAACCAAAACAACAAUAACAAAAGAAUUUGCAGUUUCAGUGUUCUGUAUUCUAACUAUAUGCUAUUCCUGCAGGUGAACAUCCAGUAUAUUUCUGUACUUCAUUUGUGAUGCGCCACCACCAUACAGUGAGAUGUAGAAAUACAUUGGGUUUAACCUAAUCAGGCCAAGCACUUAUCAGAAUAGUGUUCCUCUGACUGAAAAAAAACCAAACCAGGUCCAUCUGUUUGACAGGUCAAAGGCAUCAAGUGUCCAGAACUGCUGCUAAAUAUAUUUCAUUGCUGAUCCAGGUGAAGCCAGACUCAUUCCCUCAAAGUCACUGGUGCUGUGGGUAGUAGCAAGGCUGUAAACUCCAGACUAACACCAGAGCCUUCGCAGACACUGCUUAGCUCUUGCAUUGGGAAUGAGCUGGAAAGGUGGGUUUCUGCCAGAGAUUGGCAGAGAACAGUGUGGAGAGGCCCAUCUGUCCCCUGGCUUGUUCACAGCUGGUCCUGUUGGCACGAGCUCACUGAUCACCACCUUUGGUCUGGCUAUUGAGAGCCAGUAGACUGAUCCUGUACCAAGCUCUGAGGUGCUUUUGGGCUGGGCACAGCAGUUCAGCUGGAGAGAUGCAGUCUCACAAUGGCUGCUGAGUCAUCCCAUGUUCCCUGUGGAGCUGGAGUUACUGUGUGCCUGCAGUGCCAGGACUCACUCUGGUUUGGUCUGUGCAAAGUAACAAAAUUAAAUCCUGUUAACCAGCAAAGCACAGUGGCUGCAUGCUAACUCUGCUCCUGGACCACACCAGCUCCCAAAUCCUGCCUGGGCAUUGCUUGGAAUGGGGCUAGCUGGCCUUUGCAAGCAUUAUUCUGGGAUCAUUCUAACAAUAUUUAUAUGAAGUUGUCCCAAGGGCUGACAUUCUUUAAUUUACAGUAGUUUUAUUCUUUAAUUUUCGGUAGUUUUUAUUGGAUGCAUUUUAUCUUCAUACCAUGUAGUAUUGUAGUAUACCCAGUUUUAGAACAUAAGGCUGCCAAAUCCUUAUGGAUGUUGGGAAGCUGAUUUGGACUCUGAUGGUUCAUAGAUCUGGCUUGCACCCACCACAGAGGUGGCUGAACUGCUUUUGAAAUCAUACUGACCCUGCUGGCAAUACAGAUAUGUUCUCUUGGAGUGAGCCUGAGCUAAGGAGCUUCACUGCAUCAUUACAGAGCUAACUGAUGAAGCUCUGCUGCAGUGGAAUAAUUAAUGCACAACCCAUGAAAAGCUGAUGAUUGUAACUGAAUUUCUUCUCUGCAUCCUAACAGCAGUAUAAGAACUAAAUUCACAGGAACAAGUCACAGUGAAUAACUUCUAGAUGUCUAGCUACCUCAUAAAACUUCCAUCUCUGAGCUCUGAGGAGGUGAUUGAAUCUUUCCAUGCAUCUCCUAGGAUUUCAUAGGAGAUGAAAAGAAAUUACUUCAGGUUCCCUAUAUUCCAAAUACAUGCUUUCAAGUCAAUUUCAUUGAAAGGCUUGGAAUUUUGUGAGGUUGGAUGGGUGAAAGUAUGAUGGCUUCUUGCCUGAAAACUCACAAUUUUCAAAUCCUGAGGUUCAGGGAUGAGCUGGACUGGUAAGAGGUCAAUUAUUUGCCUUCGGGGCUGAGUAGAAGCUCUGUGAGUUUUUGUGACUGGCAUUGACCUGUAAUUCUUGACUUUGCACAAAAAGCAGUUGUUUAUGUGGGUCUUCCAAAUGUAACCUCAGGGUACUUGAAGGACUGGAGUGGAUAUGCUUGGUUAUUUGAAAGAGGUUCUCUAUUUCAAACAACUUCAUCAAUACACUUACCAAACUCCACUGGAAAACAGAACACUACUGCUUUGAGUGAGUGUUUCCAGGAUUUCACUGCUCUGGUACUUGAAUUUUUAAUUUUUUUUUAAUUUUUGCAUUUCCAGAAUAAAUUUAUUCUUAGAUAAUUUAUUCCACUUGGUUUUGAGCCAACAUUAGCCUAAGUACACUUUCUCUCAUGCUGCUUAAGAUUUCAAUAUAUAGACAAAGAAGUCCUUUUCACCCUCCAUUCUGUUAAAAGUGAGCUGUCUCAUGUCCUCCCAUAGAAAACUCUAUUCUUCAUGUCUUCUUUAAAGGGUUUCUCUGUUGUCUUUCCAGUCAAAUUAAUCUUUCUUAAGAGUGGAUAAUCACAGCUGUUCAGAGUAUUCUGGAGAGUAUCUUACUCUAAUUAGUCCUUGCUGUGAGUGGACAAUGAAAGCUAACAGUCUCAGUUCUUUCCAAUAAUACUUAUUCAAAAAAGUAAUCACACAGCUCUCAAUAGCAUUUUGUUUCUCUUUGAUACAAAUCUUAAAGCUGAUGGAAAAGCUGAUUAAUAUUACGUUCCCUUUCAUUGAAUUUAGUAUGCAGAGCCAGGAGUUGGACUUGAUGAUGCUUGUGAGUCAUUUCUAGCUCAGGAGAUUCUGUGAUUCUGCUUUAACCAAAGCAAGGGAAGAAUAGAAAAGAAUCUUUGGUCACAAGGACGUGUCUUCCCUAUGUCACACUUUUGAGGGAGAAAUAAUCUAUGCUAUCCUUUUUGUCUCCAGUUCCUCCUUGUUGGUUAGUGAAGGCUGAAGAUUUCCUCUGCAAGCCUUCUUUCUUCCUGUCUCUUUUCCCAGAAGGCUGAAUGUCAUUGUUUAGGAGCGGAGUUUUCUUCUCUCAUAGAGAGAAGAAUAUUCUGGGAUUUAUCUGAUGGUACAGAUAAAUCCCAGAAGACACAAGAAAACACAUCAUCACCCUUUGCCCCUUCAGGAGAAGGUGUGAAAUGAGCACGUUCUUAAAUGAGUAUUCAUUUUCCUCAGCUGCACUAUCUGUGAAGUGAAAGAGGUGAUACUUGCCUUGUGAGCUCUUCCCAUACAUGUUGUACUCUUUUUUUUUCUUUUUCCAGUAACUGUUGAAUCUGCUUAAAAGAAAAAGGUAAGAGGUGGAAAAAAUGGGAGAGGAUGAAACCUGGAUGAGCUGCUUACCCAAAGAGGCAUCUACACAGUGUGCUGGCCUUUAGCUGCCUGUUCCUGGAAGGGAUGAAAGGCAAGGUCUCCUAUUUAUAGUCAGGUAAUUGCAGUGAUGCUGAAUAAAAUUGUUGCUGCUCUGACUGUUUCAGUUUCAAGAACAGCAAAUCAGUGCUGAUCGCAGAAUGCUUCGCCUACAAAUAAUUAACUGUACUUAAGCUGUCAGAAAUGUUUUUCCAUCUGCUUCCUUGAGCCAUAUUCUUCCUUUUGCACUAAGCCCCUCAAAGAGAAAGAAAAAGUUCUUCAGCCUACACCUUACAGAAACUGCUCUGAGGUUGUUAUGAUCUGGCAAUGCUGUUGGGGUCAUGAGUAAUUCUAUAUUGCUAGCGAGGGUAUUAGCAAUCCAUUGCUUUUCAUUUCUCCAUUCCAACUCCACACAGGUAUUUUUGCCAAAAAAAAAUUGAAAAAUCACAGCACAUGAUCCAAAAUCCUUGAAUUUACUGGAGGUAAUUUGUUGUUUCCUCUAUGUGGGGAAUAGGUUCACACUGGAAAGUCUCUAGACUUUUGUUGGCAGGAUCCUUUAGAUCUUGGUACCACAUCCAUUAAACUGAAUUAUGCUAAUGGAAAAGGAACCUGCAUUUUUGAGGGAUAAGGGUAAAAUGUUAAUGCUCUUGCUAAGCUACCACAGAAAGUUAUACCAACUUGGUGAAAAUCUCGCUACAUGGAAGUUGGUGGAAAUCACACCUUCAGUUUCAUGUGAGCCCCACUUAACAUUGCACAAUUUCUACCAAAAGGCUGGUGGAAGUUAUAAACAGAAAAAACCCCAAACAAAUACAAUAAAUUUAGUUAAUCAAGAAUGUUAUUGGGUGUUAGAUAAAGCUUGAGUUGCUACAAAUAGAACAGGAGAUGACAAAGUGAAAAAAACCUGAGAGUUGAGGUUUUUAUUCUUUGGGAAGCAACAAAUACUAGGCUGCCAUCCAUGCUCUGCUGAACUUUACAUUGGUGAUCUCAGUCCAGAUUCCUGCUCUGGUGAGUUUUUCCAUCAUCCAUUGCUCAUGAACACAUUGUUCUGAUUUAUUUUUGUUCUGCUCAGUAAUGCAGUUGCAGGUGGGAAGAAGGGAAAAUUCUCCCAUGAAAUACAAUAUUCCCCUUAUUUUCUCACAGAAAAUGUGAACAUGCUGUAACAAAAUUCUGAUGAUGUGUUUCAGUGGUACACCUCAACCAAAGAAUGAGGUUCUUUGCUGCGGACAAUAUUCUGAUGCAAUUUAAUAAACCACAGGUCUAGAAAUAUUUUUUAGUGCUUGCACACGUGAAGUAGUUAUUUUAUUACCUCUAAUUGCUGGCCAACUUCCCAUAUAAGAGAAAAUAUGCUUCUGUGGCCCAACUCCAUGACUCUCUGUGAAGUCAAACUCUCAGUAAAACUGAGGAAUGUAAAGUGCUUUUUAAUUUUUUUUUCCUAAUAAUGAAACCUCAUAUUUGAGUACUAUGUCAUGGCAACAGAAUAAAGCAUUAAAAGCCAAAAUAUCUUGUUUAGUCUAAAUCUCAAAGAGAUGCUGCUCCUUUUUUCCUAUAAAUUAUCCCUAAUACCACCAGUCUCCUGACAGACCUGAAGAAAUUUGCCUGUUCCACUGUUCAGACAGUUUCAGUCUUUUUAAACAGAUUUGCAGCCACUGAUCAUCAGUGUGAAACACUGACUGGAAAAAACAACUUUUACAGAGCACCCCAAGAUUUAUGGAGACAUUUUAAAUAACACAGAAGUAAUCCAGUCUUAUGGAAUGGCUCUCACCUGUGCAUAGUAAUGUAAAGAACCAAGCACUUCAUAGUACAAGUAAAAUAGAGUACUAGUCUUGUAGAACAAGCAAAGCAGGAUUUCUCUCAGUGUUCUCUGAACUCUUGGGAGAUGGAGGCAUUUCUCUCUCUGAGUAGUGCCUGCUACUGCACAGCUGAAAUUGGGAAUUACACAUCUAGAUGGUAUUAUAAUUCUAAAUAAUGAAUACUUUUUCUCAUGGAGGAAACAAUGGAAUUCAGUGGAAUUAGUCAAAAUGCAUUUGUUCUACUGCCAGCAAGAUGGGUUCCUGACCUGGGCUGGUGCUGUGCCUCAGGGCCUACUGACAAACUGAAGUGUGCUACAGCCUCUGAAUAAGUGUGCUGUAAUUUGAUGCUGCCAGAAAGCACUAAAAUGUAAAGAAUAGUGAUCAAAACUGCUCCCCAUUUCAGUAUUUUGAACCCUCCUGAUUCGUUUUGGCUUUACCCAUUUAUCCUCUAUCAUACACUAGAUCCUGUUUUCAUGCAUCUUUUCAGUGCUGCAUUUAAAGCAAGCCCAGUGCAAGCUCAGACUAAAACAGUGGCACUGGUUCUAAUCCAAAUCCUUCAUCUGAUGUGGACAUUUAUUUGAGAAUAAAAUUAUUCUAGUUCAGAUGUAACUAGGUACAAAUGGAAAUUAGCUAUUUUGAUAGACAUCCUUUCCUCCUGGAAAAUGAAUAAAACCUCAUUCAUACAGGAGUUUGAUGUUUAAAGGUGCAACAGCACAAAUUUGUUAUUGGCCUAGAUCAGCAGCACAGAAGUUGCCUCAAACUGGCAAAGGAUGAUAAAUUUUUGUAGGCUGCAGAGCAGCAGAUCUGUGUUCAAGGCGGGGAACAUGUCCCAUUUACAGGCUCUGGUGUAGCCUUCCAUGGUGUGGAGUUGUGCAGGUUGCUGGGGGCAUUUGGCCUGUUUUAACCCUUGUUUCAUCCACUACAGAUUAUAUCACCCUUGAAUUUUGCCACCUAACAUUUUGGCUCUAGAUCCUGGAGUUCAGCCCUGAAGCAGGCUUUUUUUAAAACAUAUUGAUACAUGUUUAUAUUGUCUAAGACAUUGCAUGAGAUGAACUCUAAAGGAAUAUAAAGUGGGUUUUAUAUCCCCUUUAUUGUCUGUUUAUAGGCUUUUAAAUACUUCAGGAUUUAAUUAUGUGCUCCUUGAUAUGCACAUACCCACAUAGGCCAUCUAAAAGCUGAAUAAAUUCAUGUCUGUUAAUAUAAUGAACAAAGGAAGUGCUCCUCUGUUAUCGUUGUGUUUUAUCUGCCACGUAAAGCAGGUCCAAACAGUAACAUCACUGAUGGGGUUACACUAAACAAGAAAAGGAAGCUGUAUUUCUAACAUGUUAAUUUAGAAUACAUUUUUGACAGGGCUGCUGCAGGUUCAGAAUUGCUGCUGUGGGGUCAUUGUAAGCCAUGCCACCUCAGGUCAUUUGAGAGCCUUUUCUCAUGGGAUGUCAAAGAUAUUCCCUGAAUGUGCUCCUUCUCUGACUCCUUGGCCUUGAAAACCAAGAUGCAGUUAGCAAGGUCUCUGCAGGAGAAAACAAGAGCUGAUCAGUCCUGCCUGUCACCCAGAGCACUGCCACAAUCCCAGCAGCAUGCAAUGCUUUGGCUUUGAAUGUCUGUGGAGGAAUCUGUUGUAUUUUCUAGUAUGUGUUUGCCUUAUGAGAGCAGUCAGUGCCCCUUUAUGUUAAUUAUUAAAUAAGAUUGUUAAGUUGUAUUGGAAAAUGUGACUCAUUCUUUCAAAACCUGUUGCCUUUAAGUAGAAGCGGUAUUUAUCCUCCAAAAGCUUCCUGAAGUGCUAGUGGCAGCAGCAGAAUUUUAAUGUACCCUCUCUCAUUCAUCAUUUGAAGUCUACAACAACAAGCAAUGAAUCUUUGAUGAACCUUGUCAUGCUUCCUUUGGAUUGUAAUAGCAGUUUUAUAAGCUUCAAAGAAGUUCAGAAGUAAUUUGCUAUGACUGUAUCUACUUUUUUUUUUAAUCUAUGAGCACUCAGCCCAGCACUGAUACAUCACCAGAUUAGAAAGUCUUGUCCCUGUGGUUCUGGUGUAAAUGAAAACCUAUGUAACAUAUAUUACAAGUAUAUUUUCCAGAGAAAUCCCAAUAAAAGCUGCCAGACCACAGAGAUCCCUCUAAAUAUAUAUAUAUAAUACAUCUACUGAUAGUAUCUAGAGACAAUCUGGAGCACUGGGAGCAAUUAUGAAUUGAUGAUGAUUCUUUUCAUUGGAUUGUAGGGCUCUGUUUUCUCUCUGCAGCAUGUUUCAACACCCAUGAAACACACUUCUAUCUCCAGCAGAUAAGAGUGCAGAUUUUAUCAAGAGAUAAAGAGUGUGUUCUCAAAUGAGGACAUUACUUUUGUCAUUUCUUGUUUUGUCAUCCUGGUUUUGUGCCUUGCUGUGCUAGAGGCUAGAGUCGGAACUACUGAGCACUGAAAGACCUGGAAAUUUGUUUACUGUUGAGACAACCUUUGCAGUCACCAGUAUUGCUGGCUACAAAAAUAACUUGUCCUUUUAAAAGAAGUUUGCUCUGAGACUUUAUGACUUGCAGAAACUCUGGAUAUAGUUUCUCUCCAGAAUUAAGGCACAUCAGCAUGGCUGUUUCAAACCUUUCCAAAAGACAAAACAACCGAUCCACAGAAGAUUCCUGGCGCUCUGCAAAGCCCAAACGGAGCAGAGCUGCUUUGCCACGUCCUUGCCAAUGACUGAGGGCAAUGUGCUCUUUGUUGGACUCCAUCCUGCCUUGCUGAUUCUGGCUGCUGGAAUGGUUCCCAAUGGGGAACUGCUGGCCAGGCUGAGAUCAGCUCUGCCAGUUCGAGCUGUGUUUCUACAGUGGUUCACUUCAGCAGUAUAUCAAAGGGAUAGAGCAAUAUUGGAGAGGUGCAGAAAAAUAUACAUGUUGUUUAGUGGGUUUCUGCUGGUUGGUGUGAGGCUACAGACUCCUUAAAUCCUCUCAGGGCAGGCAGAUAUUUCUCAGUUCUACCCAAAUACGAAUGUUUCAGUUUCAGUCACUGAUAACUUAAGACUUUAUGUGCAGAGGUGAAUAUAUCGGGGAAACUUCUUCAUCAGUAGUGGGUGAAAGAGGUGACUAAAUGAUACCAAAUGAUACUGGGAGUGUUAUGUUCUCUUCUAAGCCUGACUUUGAGUCUGCAGUUUCUCCAGAAUGUUCAGAAAACUCUCACAGGUCGGUCUUUGUAAUCUGGCUAUGAGAUUGGCAAGACAGAAGAUCCUGAUGUAUCACCUUUACAAUAUUCAUUAUCAAAUUCUGUGAUGAAUAGCAUCUUUUGUUAGUGAGCAAUACCAGAAUUCUGUGUGCUUCUACACCUAUUUUUUAUGCCUCAUCUCUCUUUCUGUGAUGCCAUAGCUGCUUAUAUUUUUAGCUGGGGUGAUAUGAGCAACAUUUUCGUAUUCUCUGUUAUUCAUUGUUCUACUUCACAUGCAACUGUGUGUGGUUUUCUUUUUUUAAUGUUUGAAUUGCAGCUGUCAUACAGGAGUCUUCCCUGAGCUCUCCAACUCUGACAGCCAGUUGGGCAGAUACCCAGCUGGGCAGAUUGAACUGAGAUUGGUCCAGUUGGACCAAUUCCUUACUUGGAUUUGGAAUCCAAAACAGCUACUUUUAAAACUGAAAUACCUCGCAAUUUCUGCUCUGGCCUCUGAUUCUGCAGAAGCAGACAAGUACACCCCCAAAUGGAAAUGUUGCUCAUCCCAAUUCCUCAAGCCAGGAGAUGCAGAUUUGGGAGUGGGAAAGGGAGAGGAGGAACACAGAAGUGGAUGAAGAAAAUUAACCUUGAAGGGAAGCAGGACAGCAUGACAAAAGCAAAACAUCUGUUCUUCUCAAACAGCCAGUUCUGUUCCUCCAAUCUGAGGAGGCUGCUUUGUUUUAAUAAUCAAUGUUAUGGGUAGGUGGUCAUUUUAACAGGCCCACCAAACCUUUUUUGGGGUAGAAUUUUUGUGUCAUUGCUGCAAAUGUGAGAAGCAGAUGAGCUAUUGUACGCUGACACAAGCUCAGUGUGUGAUGAUGGCCAACUGGCCUAAAAUUUCUACACUGCUGUUAUUUCAUCCCUGCCAUGGAGAUUAAAAUAAAGUGUCUCGACACCA